UUCGACAACCUCAGCACUAACAGCAGCUCCUCCGUGGAGAACAGCACAGGAUUGUUCUCCAAGUUCGCGAGAUCAGCGUCGCAAGGCUCCUCCCAGGACGGGUUUCUCAGCGCUGGCCUCUUUAGCAGACUUAAUAGGAGUGGUGGCGAGAGUGCCACCACCACCCCCACCAUCGCCACCACCACCACUCAGACAUAGUCUAUUCGUCAUUGUUGUGGAGAAGAAAAAAACUGGGAUGAUAGGAAAACUAAUGCUUUGCUACUGUAGUUUGUAGCUUUCAACUCUAACAAAGUCAGAAAGAAUGAAAG
This 308-nucleotide long non-coding RNA is filed under the name Selaginella moellendorffii. RNAcentral describes it as "long non-coding RNA (SMOE_LNC000641)". The record is from RNAcentral. Lineage: Eukaryota; Viridiplantae; Streptophyta; Lycopodiopsida; Selaginellales; Selaginellaceae.